UAUUAAAAAUUUUAUUUGUUUCUAUUGUUAAAAACUUAGCUAACUGAAUAAUCAGAUAGUUAUACGUGGUAUGCCAGAUGUACCUAAUACUAAUGUAUAUGAACCAGUUUUUAAUGGUAGAAACGGAUAGAAUUUUUAACA
Molecule: non-coding RNA, 141 nt
Organism: Gossypium raimondii (Peruvian cotton)
Lineage: Eukaryota; Viridiplantae; Streptophyta; Magnoliopsida; Malvales; Malvaceae
Source: Rfam